Podarcis lilfordi (Lilford's wall lizard) is the source of this 72-nucleotide non-coding RNA. NCBI's taxonomy places the organism in Eukaryota, Metazoa, Chordata, Lepidosauria, Squamata, Lacertidae. The record is from the annotation of a GenBank genome assembly.
GCUGUUAGCUCAGUUGGUUAGAGCGUGGUGUUGAUUAUUCCAAGGUUGCAGGUUUGAACCCCAUAGAGGACA